Molecule: long non-coding RNA, 1891 nt
Organism: Oncorhynchus keta (chum salmon)
Lineage: Eukaryota; Metazoa; Chordata; Actinopteri; Salmoniformes; Salmonidae
Exons: 3
Source: RefSeq, a predicted model, not a curated record
UAGAGUGUAGAGGUGGCAGGGUAGCCUAGUGGUUAGAGUGUAGAGGCGGCAGGGUAGCCUAGUGGUUAGAGUGUAGAGGCGGCAGGGUAGCCUAGUGGUUAGAGUGUAGAGGUGGCAGGUAGCCUAGUGGUUAGAGUGUAGAGGCGGCAGGGUAGCCUAGUGGUUAGAGUGUAGAGGUGGCAGGGUAGCCUAGUGGUUAGAGUGUAGAGGUGGCAGGUAGCCUAGUGGUUAGAGUGUAGAGGUGGCAGGGUAGCCUAGUGGUUAGAGUGUAGAGGUGGCAGGGUAGCCUAGUGGUUAGAGUGUAGAGGUGGCAGGGUAGCCUAGUGGUUAGAGUGUAGAGGCGGCAGGGUAGCCUAGUGGUUAGAGUGUAGAGGUGGCAGGGUAGCCUAGUGGUUAGAGUGUAGAGGCGGCAGGGUAGCCUAGUGGUUAGAGUGUAGAGGUGGCAGGGUAGCCUAGUGGUUAGAGUGUAGAGGUGGCAGGGUAGCCUAGUGGUUAGAGUGUAGAGGUGGCAGGGUAGCCUAGUGGUUAGAGUGUAGAGGCGGCAGGGUAGCCUAGUGGUUAGAGUGUAGAGGUGGCAGGGUAGCCUAGUGGUUAGAGUGUAGAGGUGGCAGGUAGCCUAGUGGUUAGAGUGUAGAGGUGGCAGGGUAGCCUAGUGGUUAGAGUGUAGAGGUGGCAGGGUAGCCUAGUGGUUAGAGUGUAGAGGUGGCAGGGUAGCCUAGUGGUUAGAGUGUAGAGGUGGCAGGGUAGCCUAGUGGUUAGAGUGUAGAGGUGGCAGGGUAGCCUAGUGGUUAGAGUGUAGAGGUGGCAGGGUAGCCUAGUGGUUAGAGUGUAGAGGUGGCAGGGUAGCCUAGUGGUUAGAGUGUAGAGGUGGCAGGGUAGCCUAGUGGUUAGAGUGUAGAGGUGGCAGGGUAGCCUAGUGGUUAGAGUGUAGAGGUGGCAGGGUAGCCUAGUGGUUAGAGUGUAGAGGUGGCAGGGUAGCCUAGUGGUUAGAGUGUAGAGGUGGCAGGGUAGCCUAGUGGUUAGAGUGUAGAGGUGGCAGGGUAGCCUAGUGGUUAGAGGGUAGAGGUGGCAGGGUAGCCUAGUGGUUAGAGUGUAGAGGUGGCAGGGUAGCCUAGUGGUUAGAGUGUAGAGGUGGCAGGGUAGCCUAGUGGUUAGAGUGUAGAGGUGGCAGGGUAGCCUAGUGGUUAGAGUGUAGAGGUGGCAGGGUAGCCUAGUGGUUAGAGUGUAGAGGUGGCAGGGUAGCCUAGUGGUUAGAGUGUAGAGGUGGCAGGGUAGCCUAGUGGUUAGAGUGUAGAGGUGGCAGGGUAGCCUAGUGGUUAGAGUGUAGAGGUGGCAGGGUAGCCUAGUGGUUAGAGUGUAGAGGUGGCAGGGUAGCCUAGUGGUUAGAGUGUAGAGGUGGCAGGGUAGCCUAGUGGUUAGAGUGUAGAGGUGGCAGGGUAGCCUAGUGGUUAGAGUGUAGAGGUGGCAGGGUAGCCUAGUGGUUAGAGUGUAGAGGUGGCAGGGUAGCCUAGUGGUUAGAGUGUAGAGGUGGCAGGUAGCCUAGUGGUUAGAGUGUAGAGGUGGCAGGGUAGCCUAGUGGUUAGAGUGUAGAGGUGGCAGGGUAGCCUAGUGGUUAGAGUGUAGAGGUGGCAGGGUAGCCUAGUGGUUAGAGUGUAGAGGUGGCAGGGUAGCCUAGUGGUUAGAGUGUAGAGGUGGCAGGGUAGCCUAGUGGUUAGAGUGUAGAGGUGGCAGGGUAGCCUAGUGGUUAGAGUGUAGAGGUGGCAGGGUAGCCUAGUGGUUAGAGUGUAGAGGUGGCAGGUAGCCUAGUGGUUAGAGUGUAGAGGUGGCAGGUAGCCUAGUGGUUAGAGUGUAGAGGUGGCAGGUAGCCUAGUGGUUAGAGUGUAGAGGUGGC